AUGAGUAUUUUCACUCUCCUCAGUUUUUUGUGGAUGUUUAUUGGCCACACAGAGGCAGAUGUAAUAAACCGCUUGUCAGAGAAUGAAAAUAAACUUGUUGGUGACACUGUUACUCUGUCCUGCAGUUACAAACACUAUACGGGUAAUGUACAGAAUUUACAAUGGUACAGACAAUAUCCCAGAUCCAAACCGGAGUACCUCCUUUACAUUUUCCCACAUGGAGCUAUGAGUGAAGAUAGACCAGAGAGAUUUUCAGCUGAAGUUCAUCAAGAUAUUAAAAAAGUGGAUCUGAAGAUCUCCUCUGCUGUUCAGGCAGAUUCUGCCAUGUACUAUUGUGCCCUGGUGCCCACAGUGACAGGAAAUAUAACUGCAUCAUACAAAAACCCUCCCAUGAUCCCAUCAUCAAAGAAAGACAAAGCUCUAAACACUUACUUCAUCCUGUCUCAAAUGCAUCAUCACCACUAUAGUCUGUCCUUUUGCUGAAACAAGUCACAACAGAUGCAUUCAUAUAGUCAAAGGUUCACAUCUCCAUAUGACUGAAACUGUACAGAAAACUUUGAAGUGUUUUGCCAGGAGGUGGCGCUGUAUGAUUUAAAGUGAGACAGAAGAGACUUUUCAUUUUGUGAA
Megalobrama amblycephala (Wuchang bream) is the source of this 627-nucleotide non-coding RNA. The record is from the annotation of a RefSeq genome assembly. NCBI's taxonomy places the organism in Eukaryota, Metazoa, Chordata, Actinopteri, Cypriniformes, Xenocyprididae.